CCUAGUUCUGAUGCCCCUGCUGGGGCAGGGUUGCCAACUGCUAGGUCAGGCACUAGAUCAGGUUUCCCAGGGCCCCAUCCAACCUGUCCUUGAACACCUCCAGGAACAUCCAUCAGUGGUUGAAGAUGAAGCCUAUUACAGACUGGAAACUGCAUGGACAGGAGAGGUGGGAAUGCACUGGUGGCUGACAUGAUGCUCUGGCCAGAGGUAGACAGAAAGUGGUUUCAUUCAGCUUUCAGACUAUGGCCACUGAGGUUGCUCAAAGUAUCCUUGCUUAGUGCCCUUCUUUACAGUGAGUCUGCCUUGAAUUUUAUUUCAGUGGAGCCAGAAAUGGGGACCUGUUAAUGAGGAAGCCAGAAUCCUUAUGGCAGGUCGCUGGAGGAGUUUCAGACCCUUUCCACCUCUGCUGCUCCAAUUUCUACAAAUCCCCUAAUGCCAAGUGUGUCAUUCUGUGCGGAUUUCAGAUACCAAAAUAGGCUGAAGGCCAGUCCUGCUCCUCUUGCUUGCACCGAUGCCAAGAGACCAUUUGGCAGCUGCAGUGAGCAUGAGGAAUGGUAAAAGUGUUUCCUCUGAGCAGCUCCAUCUACUGCAUAGUGAGAUCUUAGAGUCUGGAGUUACAGGAAGAUAUGGAUUAGUGGAUUCUCAAAAACCUAGAGGUUCUGCCUGUGGCCCUCAAAGGAAGGAAACUGCCAACACAACAUACAUGUGCAUCCAGAAAUCUCAAAAUCAGCAAAAGGAACCUUGGUACAGGUGGAAGCUGAGCUGCUCCAGCGUGGGUGCGAGGACAUAA
This 790-nucleotide long non-coding RNA is filed under the name Numida meleagris (helmeted guineafowl). Its description in RNAcentral is "lncRNA (ENSNMEG00000013988.1)". The record is from RNAcentral. Lineage: Eukaryota; Metazoa; Chordata; Aves; Galliformes; Numididae.